AAACCAACAUAUGUGUUGGGAAAAAACUGAACGAGAAUGAAGUAUAUCACCUCGGCCUCACAAACCAUGAGGUUUACAUAGCCGCGGAGCUUGUUGCCACGGAGCCCCUCGGCAAAGAUCCGGAUCUGCUCCUGCCUCACAGAGUAGGGCACAUCAAACGCAACCCCUCGGCCAAACGCCGCGACCGUGAAACGGUACACCUCCUGCUGGCUCAUCUCAGACUCGGGGCCAUUGAAGAGGUGCUCCGACACCUCGGGGCCGAUCAGGAAGGUGAUCCUGUGGCCGAGGGUGCUAAGGGUGAAGACGCUGCCGAGGCGCGCGUACUCCUCCCGGAUCAUUGUGAUGGGGCCGCGCAUGAACCGUAUCAGUCCCCCGAUGAUAGGCAUGGCAGGGAUGGUCGGCGGCAGUCGCCUGCGGCUACGGACUCUGGAGCCGGACCACACGAGGAGCUUGAGCAUGGAGAUGGUGGUGACCAGCAGCACGGCACCGGCGAUGAGCAGGUGCUUGUCCGUAAGGCUCAUCGUUUCCUGCAGGUCCAGUUCAAUUGCCAUUUCUGCUGG
Molecule: unclassified non-coding RNA, 560 nt
Filed under: Zea mays
Lineage: Eukaryota; Viridiplantae; Streptophyta; Magnoliopsida; Poales; Poaceae
Description: misc RNA Zm00001eb170570
Source: RNAcentral